AAAAAGGGUCGAAAGACCUAUUUCUAAACCUACUACCAAUUCUUACUUCUUUGAGGUGAGAUGGUGGUAGGUUUUUUCAAACCCCAAUUUAAAAAUAUCGUCACAAGACGAAACCAAAAAAAAUAAUAAAUA
Molecule: unclassified non-coding RNA, 132 nt
Filed under: uncultured fungus
Lineage: Eukaryota; Fungi
Description: sequence contains ITS1
Source: RNAcentral